AUUGAACGCUGGCGGCAGGCCUAACACAUGCAAGUCGAACGGUAACAGGAAGACGCUUGCUUCUUUGCUGACGAGUGGCGGACGGGUGAGUCAUGUCUGGGAAACUGCCUGAUGGAGGGGGAUAACUACUGGAAACGGUAGCUAAUACCGCAUAAUGUCGCAAGCCCAAAGAGGGGGACCUUCGGGCCUCUUGCCAUCGGCUGUGCCCAGAUGGGAUUAGCUAGUAGGUGGGGUAACGGCUCACCUAGGCGACGAUCCCUAGCUGGUCUGAGAGGAUGACCAGCCACACUGGAACUGAGACACGGUCCAGACUCCUACGGGAGGCAGCAGUGGGGAAUAUUGCACAAUGGGCGCAAGCCUGAUGCAGCUAUGCCGCGUGUAUGAAGAAGGCCUUCGGGUUGUAAAGUACGUUCAGCGGGGAGGAAGGGAGUAAAGUUAAUACCUUUGCUCAUUGACGUUACCCGCAGAAGAAGCACCGGCUAACUCCGUG
This 490-nucleotide ribosomal RNA is filed under the name uncultured bacterium. RNAcentral describes it as "partial 16S ribosomal RNA". It matches the Rfam family "Bacterial small subunit ribosomal RNA", at positions 30 to 507 of the family's 1533-position model. The record is from RNAcentral.